AGUGAACGCUGGCGGUAGGCCUAACACAUGCAAGUCGAACGGCAGCACAGUAAGAGCUUGCUCUUACGGGUGGCGAGUGGCGGACGGGUGAGGAAUACAUCGGAAUCUACUUUUUCGUGGGGGAUAACGUAGGGAAACUUACGCUAAUACCGCAUACGACCUACGGGUGAAAGCAGGGGAUCUUCGGGCCUUGCGCGAUUGAAUGAGCCGAUGUCGGAUUAGCUAGUUGGCGGGGUAAAGGCCCACCAAGGCGACGAUCCGUAGCUGGUCUGAGAGGAUGAUCAGCCACACUGGAACUGAGACACGGUCCAGACUCCUACGGGAGGCAGCAGUGGGGAAUAUUGGACAAUGGGCGCAAGCCUGAUCCAGCCAUACCGCGUGGGUGAAGAAGGCCUUCGGGUUGUAAAGCCCUUUUGUUGGGAAAGAACAGCAGCAGGUUAAUACCCCGCUGUUCUGACGGUACCCAAAGAAUAAGCACCGGCUAACUUCGUG
This 492-nucleotide ribosomal RNA is filed under the name uncultured bacterium. RNAcentral describes it as "partial 16S ribosomal RNA". It matches the Rfam family "Bacterial small subunit ribosomal RNA", at positions 29 to 507 of the family's 1533-position model. The record is from RNAcentral.